CCUCGUUCGCUUCCCCUCCGCCGCACUGCUCCUCCCAUUCGCCAUGUUCGCUUCGCCUCUGCCGCUCCCCCUUCAUCGCUCCCCCUGCGCUCCUGCUCUGGAUCUCGUCCUCCUCCUUUAGCUGCCGUUCGUCCUCCUCGGUGCGCCAUUCUCAUGUGGUCUUCCCCCUUCUCUCUUCACCUGUUCUCUUCACCUCUUCUCUUACGUUUCUGCCUGUCUUGCAGCUGGGUCGGUGGCGCGGUGGAGGACCUGUCUUCGGAGUUGCCGGAGAGGCCUUCGAGAUGGCCCAGGUAGUUAUUUGAUCCGUUGUUUGCCUGUUCGUUUGUGCUGUGUUGUAUGGGUGCUGGAUUGAGUUUUUUCCAUGGAUCUCCUUAGGUUUUGCUGGUUGAUCCGUCCUGAUUAGGACUUGUCCGUGGUUCUGGUUAUCUAGCUGGUGGGUCGUGACGCUGCUGGAGUGCGGGGUGUCUCGCUGGUUUCCUUGCAGGUGAUUCUUCUCUCUCGCCUGGCCUUCGCCGUUCCGUAUAUACUAUAAAGGGAUAUGUGUUGUAGUCUGGUAGUUCUUGGUAUCUUUUCCAAGGGAUAUUGCUGAUAGUUGCAGUCUGGUGAUUGUUGUUAUCUUUUAGAAGGGAUAUUACUUCUACAGAAAAUGGCCAAGAGAAGUUCAGUUCAAGCUAAGCAUACAAUUUCUGAAUUUGAUAAAGCUGUAGAUAGAAAAAGUACCACUUCUCAUGCACCAAGUGAUCCCCAGAAGGUAGGUUAUAGUGUUCUACUGCAUGACAGGCUAUGUAUUUUCCUUUAUAAGGAGCAAAGUUUUCCUAACAUGCUUUGUCAGAUUAAUAUAAUUCAUGCACGUGGCUCUGUGAUUUUGGAGUAUCCUCUGUUCUGUUUCUUGUAGAGCUGGUUACAUUCCACCUAAGGUCUAUUCAGCAAACAUGUUUGGGUUUGUAAUGUCUGAUUUAAUUCUACAGGAUAGUUUCAUGGAAGUUGAUUCGCCUGUGACAGAUUACGCUCUGUACCAGUUCGGCACCAGCGGCGCCAUCAUCGCCGUCGCCACCACCGUUACGCAUCCGCUCGGUUAGUCAAUUGUGCGGGGUUUUUAAAAAAGGUUGUCCAUCUUGAACCGUAAUCUGUUCGACAGUGUUUUCCUAAUUCCCUAGGAAAUUAUUAGUCAUUUUUGUGUUUGGAGAUACACUAUUAAGGUGACUAAUAAAUUUUUCUCCUUUUACAAUGUACGGUUCAUAUAUAAGUUCAUAUAUUGUUUUGUUUACAUGUAUAUGAGAUACACGGUUAUGCCUAAUACCUGAAAUAUAUGAACUGAGAGCCGUUCUUUUCUUCCUGGACAUGUUGUUAUCUAUCUCCUUUGGUAUGGCAUCUCCUUUUAUAUUACUUAACAAAGUUCUUUGCUACCAGUGAAAUAUCCUAAACAAUCUGGAAAAUGUAUAGCUCAAAUGGAUAUAUAUAUAUAUAUAUAUAUAUAUUAUUGUGCUGCUGAUCUAUUUACUUAAUUGGCUCUUUGACGGACGUCUCCUUCACAUGUGUCUUUCUUCUACCUUUUUUGCUGACCGGUUGUUCUCGCUACUCCUUUUCAGUUCUUCAUGUGUACAGGAAGAAUAGGAAGCAAAAAAGGGAGGUGAGCAGGACUUGUGUACACAUGAUUAGGUGGGUCAGCUAAUCUUAUGUGGCUGAUGCACAAAUAGAUCGAGUGGCACUUUAAAUUUUCUCCACCUAACGAUUUUCUUGUUAUUUCCUUUUGAAUACUUAGCCAAGCACUGUUUCAUUCAUGUGAAACUCAAGAUUUGAUAGUGGCAACCUCAAAGAGAUAGUGGUGCAUAUACAUAUCUCACAAUUUGACAAAUAGUUAAAUUCCCUAUAUUUUAGUAUUUCUUUCUCAUUCCUAUUUCUGGUGACUAAACUGAACUUCUAUCAUUUUGCUCCCUGAGUUCUUGAUGGAAUCAUCACUCAGUUACACGAAUCUGUUUUAAUUUGUACGGAUUUGAAGGGGCUUUUACCAUUUCCAUCUAUUUUAACUGCAAGUAUAUUCAGUUGUAUUUUUUAUUUCGGUUUGCAAAAACUGGCGUCAGUCAUGCUCUUGAAAUCAUUACCACGAGUUAUAUUUGUUGAUUUCUCAUAGUUUAUUUAUUUCUCAGAGCUGGUUACCUAUUUAUCUUAACCGUGACCUUGCUUUGGCAUUUCAGAAACAUUUUAAUUGCUUAUUUGUAUUCUAUACUUUUGGGUGAUUUUACCAGUACCUUGCUUAUGUUUGUACAGUACUAUUGGAUAUCUGGUGGAGCUUUCAUUGUUGUACUGCUUAUUCCACCCCUUGCUUUGCUUUCCCUUUUUCUGGCUGGUCUUGAUGCACUUUUCAGCCGAGGACCCAAAAGAUAUCCCGUGCCCCAUAUUUCUACACUUGUAAUACUACUUCUGUCCCUGUCGAGUUCGAUAUGGAUAUGCCCCAAAAUGUAUUUUUGUUUUGCUAAACAAUUUAACGCAACUUAGUGAUAAAAUAUGUCUUCUAUUUAUGUACUCUUCCUCUCAAUCACCAAUAUGGUCCCAGUUAUGCAUGUUUAUGUAUGUGUUGUCUACAGGUGGUUAUGCUGGUUUUAUCUUUCGGUUGGUUGUUAGCCCCCUACAAGAGUUGUCACAAUAUGAAAAGGCUCCAAAAGGUGUCACGGUCAGGAAUCUUUUUUCCAGGCAUCCAGUGAUGAUCAGGUAACCAAACCAUAUCACAGGAUGUGUGUUUAUGUGGUCUGGCAAAGUAAUGCUCUUCUUUUGUGGUAUGUGGAAAGUAAUGCUCUCUUUGUUAUUCAUUUUUGAAGCCGUUAAAUAUUUUUGCCCUCAUAAUAGUUUUAGAUGUUAUGCCUUAUCAUAUUAUAUCUACGAGAAGUGAAUGUGUUUUAGCUCGUAUCUUCUAAAUUAGUGUCUUCCACCGCAUAUCAGAAAUUAAUGGUUCAUAUCAUGUUUUGUAUUUCUGUUAUAUCGUGUACUUCUUCAAAAUUUGUAUCUCAACCUAGCCUUCUUAGUGAUAAUUUUAGUGGAAGACAUUAGAUAACAACAAGUAUUUAUCACCUUUAACAAAAAUUAGUCUCCUUAUUAACAGAAAUACACUGAUCCUAUUCUACCACUAUAAUUUAGUUCAUGUGCUGUAGGCAUCACUGUCAUUGCAAUUCCUAAAGAUAUGGAAUUUUCAUACUAAUGCCGCUAAUAUAUUUGCUAAAGAGGUCUCAAAUUGAAAGCUAGGCAUACUCUUCUUCAUAAAUCGUGUUUUAUAACCAGAUCAACAAAGUUUUUGUAUUUCAUGAUUAAUAGAUGAAGUCAUGUUUGCCAAUGUCACCCAAAAAUACAAUAAUUAUUUUCCAUCCUGAGCUCAUUUCCAUGCCUGCUCUGGAAUAUUUUCCUACGGAGAAGAGGGCCACAGUACCAAUUGGGCAGACUUUGUCAAGGCAGCAGGAAUAGAAGAAUAACAUAUACUUAGAUAAGGAUCUUCGCCUUCAAGAUUAUAAGGGGAAAUUAUUGCUCACUGUCCUGUCCAUACUCUUUAGAAGGAAAUCACAAGUGUAUUUUCUAUACCAAACCAUCAUGUGGUCAUCCAUAUUACGAACUAUUCACACCAGAUUCAUAUGGAAUGGCACUCAUGGCGGUAGUUGAACCAAAGCUAUCUAUCAGUGCGCCUAACUAUGGCUUCGUAGUUUUAGCGCAUCCACGGCCACUGUGUUGGCAUUUUCUCGCUAAUGUUCCUUCUUGUACUACUGAACUUAAUGUCAACUAAUGAGCUUUUGCAAUCUCAUGGCUGCAUUAAACUUGAUGUUGCCUUACUUCUGGGGCCGGUUAGUUUUUAUAAUCUCAUGACUUUGUUGAACUCGAUGAUGUUACACUUCUGAAAUGUUUGUUCUUUUUCAUGAACCAGAAAAUCGGUUGUUCUGUUACAUGUGCUAAACUUGCCUUCCUACUAAUGCAUCAUGCGAUUUGAUCUUCCGCUGUUUGGCCAUGUUGGUUGGACCGGCACCCUCGUGCCAAGGCGCGUUACUGAUCUAGUAUCAAAUUAUCAAAGUAACGAACGCGAAUCAUAUGAGCAUGAUGAAAACUAACUUGACAACAAUUCCCAUGUGUCCUAUGGAGCGCUUUGCUUCAUAUAAGAGUUCGUCCAGGCUUGUCCUUUGCUAUAAAAAGGAUCGGGCCACCUUGCUGCACCUUGUUUACUUCUAUUACUUGUUACCCGUUACGAUUUGUCUUAUCACAAAACUAUCUGUUACCGAUAAUUUCAGUGCUUGCAGAGAAUACCUUGCUAAAAACCACUUGUCAUUUCCUUCUGCUCCUCGUUGGGUUCGACACUCUUACUUAUCGAAAGGACUAGGAUAGAUCUCCUAUACUUGUGGGUCAUCAUGCCACGUGUGGCGGAACUUCGCACACCACCGCUAUUGUAAAUAGUGGUGGUGUUGGAUAAACCAGGUGCACCACUAAUGACAUCGUGAAACACUAUUCCCAUGUGACCCUUAUGCAUCCCCAUCUAGCUAUCCUCUUCUUCUUUCUCUCUUCCUCUGCCUCCUCUCUUCUUGUUCUUGAAAGAACACCAAAUUCUUGUUCAUGAUUCUUAAUUAGGUGGCUAGAUCUAGCUAGGUGAUGCAUUAAUUAAGCUUAUCCUACACACACAUACAUUCCUAAGCUAGCACUCUCCUCCACCUACUCACACACACUUGAAUUAGUUUUUCCAUCACUCUCCAUUAACGGCGCCCACCAACCUACAUAAGGCCGGCCGACCUCUCUCUCUCGAUCAACCGACGACUAGCUCAUAUCAUCUUCUCGUCUCUCUCUAGGUAAAGAGAACUAGCUUCUCCCUAAUUAUAUGCAUGAUGAUAUAUGUGGUGGGUGUGUGUGAUUACUUUAUACAUUGCAUUAUGUUGCUCGCGAAUUGCUUUGCACUAUGUUUCUUUUUGCAGAGAAUGUCUAGAGUUGCCAAUGUUUUUGGCGAAAUGUUGAUUCAUUUUCGUUUUUUCAAAUUUCUGGCACUCAAUAUGUCCCAUUUUUGCAAAGGUCAUGCCGAAAUUUUCUGUGCGCUCGUUGGUAACAUAUAAUUCUUUUUUACUUAUACCCUUUGCAGGCAGCUCGAUCUAUUGAAAGAUUCCAUAUGGAUCGAAGUGUUGAUGGCUUCCUCAAGUUUGCGAUGAAAGACAUGAUGCGAAAGGGUGACGUGCAGAUGUUAUGUCCAUGUAAGAAGUGCGAAAAAUGGAAGUUUCUGUUGGAAAUAUGCCCUAGAGGCAAUAAUAAAUGGUUAUUAUUAUAUUUCUUUGUUCAUGGUAAUUGUCUAUUAUUCAUGCUAUAAUUGUAUUGUCCGGAAAUCGUGAUACAUGUGUG
RNAcentral lists this long non-coding RNA (5349 nucleotides) under Triticum aestivum (bread wheat). RNAcentral describes it as "long non-coding RNA (TAES_LNC000709)". Lineage: Eukaryota; Viridiplantae; Streptophyta; Magnoliopsida; Poales; Poaceae. The record is from RNAcentral.